RNAcentral lists this ribosomal RNA (660 nucleotides) under Musumecia vermicularis. RNAcentral describes it as "eukaryotic LSU rRNA". The stretch from base 278 to 431 matches the Rfam family "5.8S ribosomal RNA". Lineage: Eukaryota; Fungi; Basidiomycota; Agaricomycetes; Agaricales; Pseudoclitocybaceae. The record is from RNAcentral.
GUAAAGUCGUAACAAGGUUUCCGUAGGUGAACCUGCGGAAGGAUCAUUAUUGAAUAAACUUAGUGUGUUGUAGCUGGCUCUUUGGAGCAUGUGCACAUACACUUUUGUUUCUUUUCACCUGUGCACUCUUUGUAGAUCUGGAUACCUCUCGAGGAAACUCGGUUUGAGGGUUGCUGAUUUCUUUUUGAAGUUGGCUUCUCUUACAUUUCUGGUCUAUGUCUUCAUAUAUACCCUAUAGAAUGUUUAUAAUGGGCUUUAUUGCCUUUAAAAUCAAUACAACUUUCAACAACGGAUCUCUUGGCUCUCGCAUCGAUGAAGAACGCAGCGAAAUGCGAUAAGUAAUGUGAAUUGCAGAAUUCAGUGAAUCAUCGAAUCUUUGAACGCACCUUGCGCUCCUUGGUAUUCUGAGGAGCAUGCCUGUUUGAGUGUCAUUAAAUUCUCAAUCUCUCCAACUUUUAUUAGUUGGUUAGGCUUGGAUGUGGGGGUUGCAGGCUUCUUAAGAAGUUGGCUCUCCUUAAAUGCAUUAGCAGAACUUUUGUGGACUGUCUCUAGUGUGAUAAUUAUCUAUGCUAUUGUACAUGAAACAGCUUUUGAAGUUUAGCUUCUAACAGUUCAUUGACUUGAACAAUCUUUGACCUUUGACCUCAAAUCAGGUAGGAU